Molecule: ribosomal RNA, 468 nt
Filed under: uncultured bacterium
Lineage: Bacteria
Description: partial 16S ribosomal RNA
Rfam family: Bacterial small subunit ribosomal RNA
Source: RNAcentral
GACGAACGCUGGCGGCGUGCUUAACACAUGCAAGUCGAACGGAAAGGCCCUGCUUUUGGGGGGUGCUCGAGUGGCGAACGGGUGAGUAACACGUGAGUAACCUGCCCUUGACUUUGGGAUAACUUCAGGAAACUGGGGCGAAUACCGGAUAGGAGCUCCUGCUGCAUGGUGGGGGUUGGAAAGUUUCGGCGGUUGGGGAUGGACUCGCGGCUUAUCAGCUUGUUGGUGGGGUAGUGGCUUACCAAGGCUUUGACGGGUAGCCGGCCUGAGAGGGUGACCGGCCACAUUGGGACUGAGAUACGGCCCAGACUCCUACGGGAGGCAGUAGUGGCGAAUAUUGCACUAGGGGCGGAAGCCUGAUGCAGCAACGCCGCGUGCGGGAUGACGGCCUUCGGGUUGUAAACCGCUUUCGCCUGUGACGAAGCGUGAGUGACGGUAAUGGGUAAAGAAGCACCGGCUAACUACGUG